Unclassified non-coding RNA from Chelydra serpentina (North American snapping turtle), 300 nucleotides. It matches the Rfam family "Metazoan signal recognition particle RNA". From Rfam's summary of the family: The signal recognition particle (SRP) is a universally conserved ribonucleoprotein. It is involved in the co-translational targeting of proteins to membranes. The eukaryotic SRP consists of a 300-nucleotide 7S RNA and six proteins: SRPs 72, 68, 54, 19, 14, and 9. NCBI's taxonomy places the organism in Eukaryota, Metazoa, Chordata, Testudines, Chelydridae. The record is from Ensembl.
GCCGGGCGCCGUGGCUGGUGCCUGUGAUCCCAGUGGCGGGGGAGGCUGAGGCCGGCGGAUCGCUUCAGCUCAGGAGUUCUGGGCUGCAGCAGGCUGUGCCGAGCAGGUGUCCGCACUGAGUUCGGCAUCGAUAUGGGGAUCCCGGGGAAGCUCGGGGUCCCUGGGUUGCCUAAGGAGGGGUGAACCGGCCGAGGUCGGAAACGGAGCAGGUCAAAACUCCCGUGCCGAUCAGUAGUGGGAUCGCGCCUGUGAAUGGCCCCUGCAGCGUAGCCUGGGCGAGACAGUGAGACCCGGUCUCUU